GAAAUUUAUAGUAAGAGGAAAAUCCGUCGAUUUCAAAAAUCAUGAGGGUUCAAGUCCCUCUAUCCCC
RNAcentral lists this transfer RNA (67 nucleotides) under Metalasia densa. RNAcentral's name for it is "partial tRNA-Leu". Lineage: Eukaryota; Viridiplantae; Streptophyta; Magnoliopsida; Asterales; Asteraceae. The record is from RNAcentral.